RNAcentral lists this small RNA (190 nucleotides) under Chrysemys picta bellii (western painted turtle). Its description in RNAcentral is "TUC338 (ENSCPBG00000006052.1)". Lineage: Eukaryota; Metazoa; Chordata; Testudines; Emydidae. The record is from RNAcentral.
UUGACAGCUCUACAGACUCAAGUCCUCUAUUUUUCCUCAGAACAAGCUCAGCAAAGGCAGCAGCAGGACAAAUAUCCCUAACAUUCCCCCUUGUGAAUGUGACACAACCUUGACCUGGAGGGACCACUUUGAGGAGGGCGGUUGGGGAGGGGAGAAGUUUGUUCUCCUUGGCACCUCUGCUGAGACUGCU